AGUGAACGCUGGCGGUAGGCCUAACACAUGCAAGUCGAACGGCAGCACAGUAAGAGCUUGCUCUUACGGGUGGCGAGUGGCGGACGGGUGAGGAAUACAUCGGAAUCUACUUUUUCGUGGGGGAUAACGUAGGGAAACUUACGCUAAUACCGCAUACGACCUACGGGUGAAAGCAGGGGAUCUUCGGACCUUGCGCGAUUGAAUGAGCCGAUGUCGGAUUAGCUAGUUGGCGGGGUAAAGGCCCACCAAGGCGACGAUCCGUAGCUGGUCUGAGAGGAUGAACAGCCACACUGGAACUGAGACACGGUCCAGACUCCUACGGGAGGCAGCAGUUGGGAAUAUUUGACAAUGGGCGCAAGCCUGAUCCAGCCAUACCGCGUGGGUGAAGAAGGCCUUCGGGUUGUAAAGCCCUUUUGUUGGGAAAGAAAAGCAGCAGGUUAAUACCCCGCUGUUCUGACGGUACCCAAAGAAUAAGCACCGGCUAACUUCGUG
Molecule: ribosomal RNA, 492 nt
Filed under: uncultured bacterium
Lineage: Bacteria
Description: partial 16S ribosomal RNA
Rfam family: Bacterial small subunit ribosomal RNA
Source: RNAcentral